This 446-nucleotide ribosomal RNA is filed under the name bacterium OHDC-01. RNAcentral describes it as "bacterial SSU rRNA". It matches the Rfam family "Bacterial small subunit ribosomal RNA", at positions 935 to 1379 of the family's 1533-position model. The record is from RNAcentral.
GGGCAUGUGGUUUAAUUCAACGCAAAGCGAAGACUUACUACUCUUGACAUCCAGAGAACUUUCCAGAGAUGGAUUGGUGCCUUCGGGAACACUGAGACAGGUGCUGCAUGGCUGUCGUCAGCUCGUGUUGUGAAAUGUUGGGUUAAGUCCCGCAACGAGCGCAACCCUUAUCCUUGUUUGCCAGCGAGUAAUGUCGGGAACUCCAGGGAGACUGCCGGUGAUAAACCGGAGGAAGGUGGGGACGACGUCAAGUCAUCAUGGCCCUUACGAGUAGGGCUACACACGUGCUACAAUGGCGCAUACAGAGGGCGGCCAACUUGCGAAAGUGAGCGAAUCCCAAAAAGUGCGUCGUAGUCCGGAUUGGAGUCUGCAACUCGACUCCAUGAAGUCGGAAUCGCUAGAAAUCGGCCAUCAGAAUGCCACGGUGAAUAGUUUUCCCGGGCAAU